Long non-coding RNA from Bubalus bubalis (water buffalo), 4263 nucleotides. RefSeq lists it as uncharacterized. The transcript is spliced from 3 exons. Lineage: Eukaryota; Metazoa; Chordata; Mammalia; Artiodactyla; Bovidae. The record is from RefSeq and is a predicted model, not a curated record.
AUCCCAUGGACAGAGAAGCCUGGUAGGCUACACUCCAUGGGGUUGCAAAGAGUCGGACACGACUGAGCAACUUCACUUCACUUCAGAGGACUUGAGUUUUCUUUCCCCAAAGAAAAAUAAUUCUGAUUCUUCUGGGGAGCUGUGGAAUUCAGCCUUUGGAAGAGAGGACAGCAGGUAUGAUUCAAUGUUCACCAAAAGUGAAAUGUUUACUAAGUACAUACUAUGGGCCAGGUAUAAUAUAGGAGGGGCUGAGACCAUCUGGUUUCAGUCCCUGAGCUGGCACCGUGCAGCCACAUAGCCCCAGCAAGACAUGCCCACACCUCUGUCUCCAUCCAGCAUCCCUUGGGACCAAAGAGAAGCUGGCGCCCAGCCCUCCCAUCAAUGACCAAAUCCAGCAGAGCUUCCCCUUGAGUCCCCGGGGAGACAAGCCACAGGAACUUUGCCUCCAGAAUGACUGUAGGGCAGCAGUCCAGCCACUCAUGCUGACGUCUGGGGGUGGGUGAUGGGGUGCAGCGUGCUGGCUUUCAGAGAAUAAACACAAACAGAGCCAACACUCAGUGUCCAUCUUCUUUCCAAUCCUUCUCUUGCGCCCAGUCACAUCCUCAAGCUUUUCUAGAGACACUGGCCGAUGGUUACAUUCCCCUGUUGUAAUUUCACUCCUCCUCUCUUCCUAGAUUUACCUUCUCGGAGGUGAGCUAACAACCAGGGGAAAAGCUCAAAAUACAGGAAAGAGGAGCACAGACUGAAUAUGCAUGUGGAUGGCUAAGCAUUACACACAGUGAAAGAUGAAAGCCCUGUGGGCUUGGUCCCUGGAAGACGAUGCAAGUGCCAGCAUCCUGAGAUGAUGGGGGUGAGGCUCAAAGCUGCGCUGGGGUGCGUCUCAUCAGUAAUGUACAUCAGCCAUGUUUGCUGCUGUGAGCCAUGGGCUACGCCGGGAUUCGUGGCCUCAGGAGAAGAAUUUGAUCCAGGGCCAGAGAUGAGGCUUGACCACUUGGAGCUUUUGUGUAGCAAAGUUUUAUUAAAGUAUAAUAAAGAUAGGGAAAGCUUCUGACAUAGACAUCAGACGGGGACAGAAAGAGUGCCCUCCAGCUGGCUUUUUGCAAGGCAUUUUAUGUCUGUUAGCAAGCUUCUAAUCAGAUAAAAGAAACACCUCAAGGCUGAGGGAGUUUCACCAGGCCCCUCACCCACAAUAUGCAUUUUUGAGAUAGGAUGUAUCAUCCCUCAGCCAUAAAACAAUGUACUGGUUUGUUGAGCCAUUAUCAGCCCAAGGUUUGAGAAAAGAAAAAAAGUUAGUCUUAGGCAGAACCAAUUUGAAGAAAGGCAGUUUCCAAAGCAAAUACAUGGUUUAAUUAACAUCGCUGAAGAAAAACAUUUCCAUAAGAAAAACACAUCGGUUAGCUCAAGGCAGAACCAGGUGUCCUCAACACAGAAUUAAAAGAAGCCUCUCUGAAUUUCGUGCAGAGAAGGAAGAAACGUCUGCAACUGCAGUUUAUUUCCUCCUUCCGCUUGGGGACCUCUGGCCUUCCUACCUGUUACCCUCUCAUUAUCAUGAUUACUUUUCUGUUGUUGGUAAUCAAGAAAUCUGUUUACUCUCCCAGAAAUGUAUCUAAUAUGCUUGUUGUAGAAAACUUCAACUGUUCAUCUGACCAUGUAAUAUGUUGGUUAUAGAAAACUGAGUUGACCUCCUUAGUUUGUAAAUGAACUUGCCAAGGUCUCAGGGAUUCAUCCUCUACCAUCAUUUUAGCUGACUUACUUCUGUGGCUGAAGAGGCAAUGUAAUCCUUUUUGAUCAGAAUGAGCAGGUUCCCUUUUUUUUUUUUUUUACCACCAAGGUCGAGUCCUUCAUGGUCAUUAUCUAUUGUGCAAAGGCCAAGGAUGAAUUUGACAAUCACAUGAUGCAUGCAAUAAAAAGUCGACUCAGCAGGUCUGGGGUGUUGAAACUCUGUACAUUUCAAAGAAAGGUCUGGCCUUUGACAAACUCCUGGGAAAUAAUCUCUAAGCCUUUGGAAUACUCUGCCUCAUAAAGACAUCUUUGUUUACCUGGGGCCAUGGGUCAUACCAGACAGUCUGCACUCACACUGUGAUUGAUGAUAGGGUCUUGGGCAACACAAUAUCUGUAUAACCUCUGGAGAGGGUGGGAACCCAGGUGCUAAGGUCAGCCACAGAGGAGCUCCAUGCCUCCAAGACAAACUCCCAACCAAAACAAACCCUGGACACCAAGGCUCACCUGAGCCGCCCUGGUUGGCAAUAGUGCAUACAUGUCACAAAUCAUUGCUGGAAGAAUUAAGUAAUCAUCAGAAUUAAGUAAUCACUACUUAAUCAGAAUUAAGUAAUCAUCAGAUUACUCCACCAGGAGAUGACAAUAGGAAACCACGCCUGAAUAUGCUCCUUUUAUCUUUGAUGAUUUUAACUUGUGUCCUUUCCCUGUGUUAAGUCAUAACAAUGAGUAUGACAGAUUUUCUGAAUUUACGAGUCCUUCUAGCAAAUCACUGAGCCUAAGGGUGCUCUUAGGGACCCCAAAAAGAAUGAGUUAAAGAGGAGAAAACCCUUGAAAGUGCUGGUUAACAUAAGAGAGGCUUCCUCUAGUCACAUAGAAAUCAGAGCAUAGCAGGACCAGUUCUGAGUGGACACUGAUGCCCGUUUGCCUUCUUUCUGCUAAAUUACAGCCUCCCCUCCCCCCGCCCUAACUGCCAGGUGAUUUUAGUCAGUUCUCAAGAAAAGAUAUAUAUAUAUUGGUUUUGCUCAAGAUUCACCGAAAUAGAGUUGGAAAAGCCUGAGUUCCUCUGCCUUCUCCCUUUUUCCUUCUCCACGUGUUUUAAUUUGUUUAGAACUUAAGGAUGGAGAAGGGCAUGCCAACCCACUUCAGUAUUCUUGCCUGGAGAAUCCAAUGGACAGAGGAGCUUCACGGGCAACAGUCUAUGGGGUCACAAAGAGUCAGACACAACUGAAGUGACUUAGCAGCAGAACUUAAGGAACACGAUUGAGUUUGUUUAAAUCAAGGAUGAGGAGGAGCAAAAUUAGUACUCGCGCUAGAUUUCCUCUCCAAACUUUGGAAAGGAAAAUUUUCCCUCCAGUUCUAUCAUUCUAAUAAAAACAUUUUAGAAUGCAAGAUGUGACAAAAGCAAUUUCCCACCUGAGCACUGUACACACCUGCUUCACCUGAUGGGACCACAGGCAAGAAGUCCAGAGGCUUCUCUGUUACUCUCUGAUGCAAUGUGUAUCCUGCUGCUUUUCUGGAUCUGAAUCACUAGUGUCCCUCCUAUUUAAGCCUGGGCUUCCCAGGUGGCUCAGUGAUAAAGAAGCCACCUGCAGAGCAGGAGACUCAGGUUCGAUCUCCAGGUUGGGAAGAUUCCCUGGAGCAGGAACCCACUCCAGUGUUCUUGCCUAGGAAAUCCCAUGGACAGAGGAGCUUGGUGGGCUACUGUCCAUGGGACUGCAAAAGAAUCAGACAUGACUAAGCACUCGUGCACUUACACGUGAAGCUGAGAAACUGCUGCGUACAUUCUGAUCUGGUUUCAUACAAGUCAUAGACAGAAAAGGAUGCUCUUCCUGGGAUCAAUGCAGACUAUGAUCUAUUGUUUCUGUUUUUGGUUUUUUUUUUUUUCCGCACAGGCUAUUUGAAAGAAAACAAAACAAAAUGCUGAACAGUUUUGAAAAACCAAGAAAAAGUCCUGCUGGCAUGCUUGUGCACUUAUUUUCCCCACAUAUUGGUCCAGAAACCCCAUGAUGCUCUGCAUCUUGCAGACACAAGGGUUUUGAACAGAUUGCAUGCUCCAAGCUCCAGCCGCAGAGACAGCCCCAGAAUUUUAUCAUCUUACUGGGAAAUUAUUUUCCCCACAUAUGUUUUGAUGAUGACAGGCCUUUUUCCAUCUUGCUGUUCCUCCUCCUCAGGAGAAUAGAAAUGUAAGGAAUAAUUUCUGAUUCAAUACUUGCCGUUCAGCCCACGUACCACUGCAGUUUAAAGAUUGUCUACACACUUGCUAACAACUUACUUUAAAUCUAUGCUUUGGGAAAACGAGAGACAAAGGGGAAGAGAAGAAAGAACUUAAAAUAAUACAUUUGAGAAGAUAUGUAUAAUAUUUGGAAGAGAAGUUUCCCUAAUUCUACUGGCUGUAACACAUUAUAUAAAGCUACAUCUAUGUGGGUUGGACAAGUUCAUUUCUAAGCUGCUGCUGCUGCUGCUAAGUCACUUCAGUCGUGUCCGACUCUGUGCGACCCCAUAGAUGGCAGCCCAUCAGGCUCCUCCAUCCCUGGGAUUCUCCAG